This 381-nucleotide unclassified non-coding RNA is filed under the name uncultured Armatimonadota bacterium. RNAcentral's name for it is "uncultured Armatimonadetes bacterium contains 16S-23S intergenic spacer region". Lineage: Bacteria; Bacillati; Armatimonadota. The record is from RNAcentral.
UCCGGCUUACACCGGCGGUCUCGUGUGAGUCCCCGACAUUACUCGCUGGUAACACACGACGAGGGUUGCGCUCGUUGGCGGACUUAACCGUACACCUCACGGCACGAGCUGACGACAGCCAUGCAACAAGUGUCUUCACGUCUCCUUGUGGGAGAGGGCCUACUUUCAUAGGCUUGCGAUCGAUGUCAAGUCUGGGUAAGGUUCUUCGGUUAGUAUCGAAUUAAUCCACAUGCUCCACCGCUUGUGCGGGUCCCCGUCAAUUCAUUUGAGUUUCAACCUUGCGGCCGUAGUCCCCAGGCGGGAUACUUAGUGCGUUAGCUGCGGCACUGGAGGGGUCGAUACCUCCAACGCCUAGUAUCCAUCGUUUAGGGCGUGGACUAC